Molecule: ribosomal RNA, 319 nt
Filed under: uncultured eukaryote
Lineage: Eukaryota
Description: partial 18S ribosomal RNA
Rfam family: Eukaryotic small subunit ribosomal RNA
Source: RNAcentral
CCCUUAGAUGUUCUGGGCUGCACGCGUGCUACAAUGAAGCGUCCAACAAGAUGCGAAGCCGAAAGGCUCAGCGGAACUUUGAAGUCGUUUCGUGACCGGGACAGUUGAUUGCAAUUAUUCGACUCGAACGAGGAAUUCCUUGUAAUCGCGAUUCAUCAUAUCGCGCUGAAUACGUCCCUGCCCUUUGUACACACCGCCCGUCGCUCCUACCGAUUGAGCGAUCCGGUGAAUUAUUUGGAGUGUCCACGCAAGCCAAUCCGUUUACGUGGGUGCGAAAUUUUGUAAACCUUAUCGCUUAGAGGAAGGAAAAGUCGUAACA